RNAcentral lists this ribosomal RNA (635 nucleotides) under uncultured eukaryote. RNAcentral describes it as "SSU rRNA". It matches the Rfam family "Eukaryotic small subunit ribosomal RNA", at positions 450 to 1090 of the family's 1831-position model. The record is from RNAcentral.
CCCGACUCGGGGAGGUAGUGACAAUAAAUACUGAUACAGGGCUCUUUUGGGUCUUGUAAUUGGAAUGAGUACAAUUUAAAUCCCUUAACGAGGAACAAUUGGAGGGCAAGUCUGGUGCCAGCAGCCGCGGUAAUUCCAGCUCCAAUAGCGUAUAUUAAAGUUGUUGUGGUUAAAAAGCUCGUAGUUGAACCUUGGGCCUGGCUGGCCGGUCCGCCUCACCGCGUGUACUGGUCCGGCCGGGCCUUUCCCUCUGUGGAACCCCAUGCCCUUCACUGGGUGUGGCGGGGAAACAGGACUUUUACUUUGAAAAAAUUAGAGUGCUCCAGGCAGGCCUAUGCUCGAAUACAUUAGCAUGGAAUAAUAAAAUAGGACGUGUGGUUCUAUUUUGUUGGUUUCUAGGACCGCCGUAAUGAUUAAUAGGGACAGUCGGGGGCAUCAGUAUUCAAUUGUCAGAGGUGAAAUUCUUGGAUUUAUUGAAGACUAACUACUGCGAAAGCAUUUGCCAAGGAUGUUUUCAUUAAUCAGGAACGAAAGUUAGGGGAUCGAAGACGAUCAGAUACCGUCGUAGUCUUAACCAUAAACUAUGCCGACUAGGGAUCGGGACGAUGUUAUUAUUUGACUCGUUCGGCACCUUA